RNAcentral lists this long non-coding RNA (315 nucleotides) under Elaeis guineensis (African oil palm). RNAcentral's name for it is "long non-coding RNA (EGUI_LNC058902)". Lineage: Eukaryota; Viridiplantae; Streptophyta; Magnoliopsida; Arecales; Arecaceae. The record is from RNAcentral.
AUAGGUGCAUCUUGAUCAAGGAUAUGGGUUAGUUUUUUAGAACUGAGAAUGAUUCUCAAAUUCUGGAGUCAGUCUUUGUAGUUUGUCCCGGUCAAUCUGUUUGUGUUAAGGAUACGAACUAAAGAGUUUGAACUUGAUAUGAUUAUUUUUAGAAAAAAUAGUUUCUAGUUAGAUAUUUGUACUUAUUAAAUAUUUAUUCUAGGAACUUUAGAAAUAAAUAAGGCUUUCACUAUUUUCUUGAAUCUUUUACACUCCUCAGGUGGAGAAAUAAAAAUCUAUAUGCGAUCGAUUUUAGGAGAGUACUGUGAUCCCACU